CACGGGGGCUGUGGAUCAGACU
Molecule: microRNA, 22 nt
Filed under: Eptesicus fuscus (big brown bat)
Lineage: Eukaryota; Metazoa; Chordata; Mammalia; Chiroptera; Vespertilionidae
Description: efu-miR-9200b
Source: miRBase by way of RNAcentral